This is a non-coding RNA of Lemur catta (Ring-tailed lemur), 1395 nucleotides long. Lineage: Eukaryota; Metazoa; Chordata; Mammalia; Primates; Lemuridae. The record is from the annotation of a RefSeq genome assembly.
CCGAUUUUUUUGGAGAUUAAAAUUUGAAUGCUCAUUGAACCAGUGGAGAAAAUGAUGAAAUCCUUCAGAGUUUUGCUGGCAAUCCUGUGGCUUCAGUUAAGCUGGGUGAGGAGUCAACAGAAGGAGGUGGAGCAGACUCCCAAAUCCCUCAGUGUUUCUGAGGGAGCCAUGGCCUCUCUCAACUGCACUUAUAGCAACCAAGCUUCUCAGUCCUUCAUAUGGUACAGACAGUAUUCCGGGAAAGGCCUUGAGUUCCUGGUGUCCAUAUACUCCACUGGUGACAAAGAAGAAGGAAGGUUUACAGCACAGCUCAAUAUGGCCAGCAAAUAUGUUUCCCUGCUCAUCAGAGACUCCCAGCCCAGUGACUCAGCCACCUACCUCUGUGCAGUGAAUAACAAUGCCCUGCGCUUUGGAGCAGGGACCAGACUGACAGUAAAACCAAAUAUCAAGGACCCUGACCCCGCCGUGUACCAGCUGAAAGACUCUAAAUUUGGGAACACCUCCAUCUGCCUAUUCACUGAUUAUGCUUCUGAACUGAAUGUGUCCCAAGUCGAGGAAUCUGAUGUGUUCGUCUCAGGCAAAACUGUGCUGGACAUGAGGUCCAUGGAUUCCAAGAGCAACGGAGCCUUGGCCUGGAGCAACAAAACUGAUUUUGCAUGUGCAGACACCUUCAGGGAGGAGAAAUUCUACUCCAGCUCAGAAUUUCCCUGUGAUGCCAAGUUGGUACAGAAAAGCUUUGAAACAGAUACGAACCUAAACUUUCAAAACCUGUCAGUGAUGGGGCUCCGCAUCCUCCUCCUCAAAGUGGCUGGAUUUAAUCUGCUCAUGACGCUGCGGCUGUGGUCCAGCUGAGGUCAGCAAGACCAGAAGAGCCCCUGCUCCCUCGCUGCGAGCUCCGCAUCGCCGCCCUCCCCCUCUUCCCGCAGAGGGAGUGCUCCCAGCCCACGAGGAGAAGGCUCCCACCGCCCCUCAGCCCCCCGGCAAUGCCACGGACAAGAUCCUGCCCGAAUCUGUGAUGAAGAUUGCUGAGGAGCUGCCAGACUGCUGCCCUGUGGUGUGUCCCCUGUUGCUGCCCGUCACCGGCUGACAGCCAGGGCGGAGGCAGGGCUGCGGCAGCUCUCCCGGCCGUGGAGAAACCCCUCCCCUCCCCACACACUGCCUCUGCUGUCCCGCUGAAGGGGAGCCCCGGGGGGUCUCUCGGACUAGCUCCUGGACAGUGUUGUGAAGAGUUUAUUUUUUUUAAUAGUGUUCAUAAAGAAAUACAUACAUGUUACUCUAUUUCUCAAGAUGUGGGGAAAUGAUCUCAUUACCGAGGCCCUGCUAUGCUGUGUAUCUGAGCCGCGCUGUGUAUAUCCUGCUGCCCAUAGCUUCAUUAAAAGUGAUUGGAAGAGCAGA